GGCGAGCGAAGCGGGAAAAGCCCAAAAUGAAAAGCCAGCUUGCUGGCGUUGUAGUUGAGCGACCUUGGGGUGUCAGUCUGGGUAAGUCGCAUGGAAAUGCGUGCCGUGGAGGGUGAGAGCCCCGUCCAUCCCAUUCAGGACACCCCGCACAAGGGCGUUUCAGACGAGUCGGGUAGCUUGGGAAUGCUGCUCUAAUUGGUGGUAAAUCUCAUCAAAGGCUAAAUAACGGUGGGAGACCGAUAGCGAACAAGUACCGUGAGGGAAAGAUGACAAGCACUUUGAAAAGAGGGUGAAAAGAGCCUGAAACCGUUACGGGGGAAGCGGAUCGCGUUGGCCUGGUGGCCGCCUGUGUGUUCAGCCUUCGGGUGCAUUGAUGCAGGUGGUUAUCCGUCGUGGCUUCUCGGUGGCCGAAUUUGGGCUGCUGGGGGGUGAGGGCUCCCUUCGGGUGAGGACGACGGAGUGACGACGCGAUACGACCCGUCUUGAAACACGGACCAAGGAGUCUAGCGCGGGUGCGAGUCGGAGGGUGUUAAAACCCGUGGGCGAAGUGAAAGCGAGUGUAAAAACGAGCAGUUUGAGGCGGCAUAGAAUCGUUGAUUCUAGGUCCGACCUUGAGCAGUUGCGCUGGGACCCGAAAGAUGGUGAACUAUGCCGGAGUAGGGCAAAGCCAGAAGAAAUUCUGGUGGAGGCUCGUAGCGGUGCUGACGUGCAAAUCGCUCGUCGAACUUGGGUAUAGGGGCGAAAGACUAAUCGAACCAUCUAGUAGCUGGUUCCCUCCGAAGUUUCUCUCAGGAUAGCGGGCCGACAAGUUGUUUUGUGCGGUAAAGCGAAUGAUUAGCGCAUUCGGGGCCGUUUAGGCUUUGGGCGAUUCUCAAACUUUCAAUGCGCAAGGGUACCGGUGCUUUGUUGAGCGGUACCGAUAAAAACGUCGGCCUUGUGGGCCACUUUUGGUAAGCAGAACUGGCGAUACGGGAUGAACCGUAAGCAUGGUUAAGGUGCCAAACUGCCCGCCCAAGGAGUGUGUAACAACUCACCUGCCGAAUGAUUUAGCCCUGAAAAUGGAUGGCGCUUAAGCGGGCGACCGACACCAUGCCGUCUGUAAAAUAAAUCAGAUGAGUAGGAGGGCGUGGCGGCCGUGUCGAAGCGCGCCUGCAGAGGCGUGUGGAACGGCCGCUAGUGCAGAUCUUGGUGGUAGUAGCAAAUAUUCAAGCGAGAUCCUUGAAGGGCGAAGCGGGGAAGGGUUCCACGCGAACAUUGAUUGGGCGUGGGUGAGUCGUUCCUAAGCCGAGUGGCGAUUGCUAAGUAGCGGCGAAAGGGAAGCGGGUUGACAUUCCCGCACACGGAUGUGGAGGCGGCGACGCUUUAUUGGGGCGAACACGCUGGCGGUGGCGCUGGGCAGAGUUGUCUUUUCUGUUUGACCGCUGAUGCACGCGGUGUGGAAUCCGCUUGUCGGGAGAAACACGCGUGUACGGGCAGAGCGCCGGGGCUUUUCCGGCGUCCAGCUCGCCACCGACGGCCCUUGAAACUUUGCCUGCUGGUAUUUUAAGAUCCACGCCGUGGCGUACCGAUCACCGCAUCAGGUCCCCGAGGUGAACAGCCUCUGCUCAAUAUGAAAAAUGCAGGUAAGGGAAGUCGGCAAAUUGGACCCGUAACUUUGGGAAAAGGGUUGGCUCUAGUGCUGCGUGGGAGUGGUUGUCGGGUGUUGGUAUGUUUAGGCUUGCUGAGCGAGCGCGGGCCUUCGGGACUGUGUUUGUUCGGCGAGCCCGGAUGUGCCACGCUCGACGACRCCCACAGCAUGCAGCAUUAAUUAAAACAAAGCAUUGCGAAGGCCGUGGCCGGUGAUGACGCAAUGUGAUUUCUGCUCAGUGCUCUGAAUGUCAAAGUGAAGAGAUUCAAUCAAGCGCGGGUAAACAGCGGGAGUAACUAUGACUCUCUUAAGGUAGCCAAAUGCCUCGUCAUCUAAUUAGUGACGCGCAUGAAUGGAUUAACGAGAUUCCUACUGUCCCUAUCUGCUUCUAGCGAAACCACAGCCGAGGGAACGGGCUCGGCGAAAUCGGCGGGGAAAGAAGACCCUGUUGAGCUUGACUCUAUUCUAAUUUUGUGAAGCAAGCUGGGAGGUGUAGCAUAGGUGGGAGACUUCGGUCGUCCGUGAAAUACCACUACUCCCAGUCUUGCUUUACUUACUGGGUGGGUGUGGAUGAGUCUUACGACUCUUUUCUGGAACCAACUCAAUUUAAUUUGAGGACCACAGCCCAGUACACAUUUAGGAGGGGAGUUUGGCUGGGGCGGUACAUCUUCUACAAGACAACGAAGGUGUCCAAAGAUAAGCUCAGUGAGAACAGAAAUCUCACGUAGCGCAAAAGGGUAAAAGCUUGUUUGAUUUUGAUUUUCAGUGCGAGUCAAAAACGCGAAAGCGUGGCCUAUCGAUCCUUUCACGAUUCGAGAUUUGAAGCGAGAGGUGUCAGAAAAGUUACCACAGGGAUAACUGGCUUGUGGCGGCCAAGCGUUCAUAGCGA
Molecule: ribosomal RNA, 2516 nt
Filed under: Tsengia laingii
Lineage: Eukaryota; Rhodophyta; Florideophyceae; Halymeniales; Tsengiaceae
Description: partial large subunit ribosomal RNA
Source: RNAcentral